This 21-nucleotide microRNA is filed under the name Prunus persica (peach). Its description in RNAcentral is "ppe-miR8127-3p". Lineage: Eukaryota; Viridiplantae; Streptophyta; Magnoliopsida; Rosales; Rosaceae. The record is from miRBase by way of RNAcentral.
UUCAAAGGGUACAUCCACAGU